This 253-nucleotide ribosomal RNA is filed under the name uncultured bacterium. RNAcentral describes it as "partial 16S ribosomal RNA". It matches the Rfam family "Bacterial small subunit ribosomal RNA", at positions 524 to 776 of the family's 1533-position model. The record is from RNAcentral.
UACGUAGGGUGCAAGCGUUGUUCGGAAUUACUGGGCGUAAAGGGCUCGUAGGCGGCCAACUAAGUCAGACGUGAAAUCCCCAGGCUCAACCUGGGAACUGCGUCUGAUACUGGAUGGCUUGAAUCCGGGAGAGGGAUGCAGAAUUCCAGGUGUAGCGGUGAAAUGCGUAGAGAUCUGGAAGAACACCAGUGGCGAAGGCGGCUACCUGGACCAGCACUGACACUGAGGCACGAAAGCGUGGGGAGCAAACAGG